This 172-nucleotide small nuclear RNA is filed under the name Sciurus vulgaris (Eurasian red squirrel). Its description in RNAcentral is "U2 spliceosomal RNA (ENSSVLG00005011390.1)". It matches the Rfam family "U2 spliceosomal RNA". From Rfam's summary of the family: U2 is a small nuclear RNA (snRNA) component of the spliceosome (involved in pre-mRNA splicing). The record is from Rfam by way of RNAcentral. Lineage: Eukaryota; Metazoa; Chordata; Mammalia; Rodentia; Sciuridae.
AUUGAUUCUUGGCCUCUUUGCUAAGAUCCAGUGUAGCAUUUAUUCUUUUCAGUUUAAAAUCUGAUAUGAUAUUAAUUGGAUUUUUAGAGCAGGGAGAUGGAAUAGGAGCUUUCUUUGUCCACUCCAUGCAUAGACCCGGUAUCACGGUGCCUCUAGGAAUCAUGCAACACAC